UACGUAGGGUGCGAGCGUUGUCCGGAAUUAUUGGGCGUAAAGGGCUCGUAGGCGGUUUGUCGCGUCGGGAGUGAAAACCCCGGGCUUAACUCGGUGCUUGCUUUCGAUACGGGCAGACUGGAGGUAUGCAGGGGAGAACGGAAUUCCUGGUGUAGCGGUGAAAUGCGCAGAUAUCAGGAGGAACACCGGUGGCGAAGGCGGUUCUCUGGGCAUGUCCUGACGCUGAGGAGCGAAAGUGUGGGGAGCGAACAGG
RNAcentral lists this ribosomal RNA (253 nucleotides) under uncultured bacterium. Its description in RNAcentral is "partial 16S ribosomal RNA". It matches the Rfam family "Bacterial small subunit ribosomal RNA", at positions 524 to 776 of the family's 1533-position model. The record is from RNAcentral.